GGGAAAAUGGCUCAGUGGUAGAGUGCUUGUCUCAUAUGCAGGAGGCCCUUGGUUCGUUUCCUCA
Molecule: transfer RNA, 64 nt
Filed under: Dipodomys ordii (Ord's kangaroo rat)
Lineage: Eukaryota; Metazoa; Chordata; Mammalia; Rodentia; Heteromyidae
Rfam family: tRNA
About the family: Transfer RNA (tRNA) molecules are approximately 80 nucleotides in length. Their secondary structure includes four short double-helical elements and three loops (D, anti-codon, and T loops). Further hydrogen bonds mediate the characteristic L-shaped molecular structure. tRNAs have two regions of fundamental functional importance: the anti-codon, which is responsible for specific mRNA codon recognition, and the 3' end, to which the tRNAs corresponding amino acid is attached (by aminoacyl-tRNA synthetases). tRNAs cope with the degeneracy of the genetic code in two manners: having more than one tRNA (with a specific anti-codon) for a particular amino acid; and 'wobble' base-pairing, i.e. permitting non-standard base-pairing at the 3rd anti-codon position.
Source: Rfam by way of RNAcentral